RNAcentral lists this ribosomal RNA (774 nucleotides) under uncultured Neocallimastigales. RNAcentral describes it as "partial large subunit ribosomal RNA". It matches the Rfam family "Eukaryotic large subunit ribosomal RNA", at positions 24 to 643 of the family's 3401-position model. The record is from RNAcentral. Lineage: Eukaryota; Fungi; Neocallimastigomycota; Neocallimastigomycetes; Neocallimastigales.
UAUGUGAUCGUCUCUCGCAUAUCAAUAAGCGGAGGAAAAGAAACUAACAAGGAUUCCCCUAGUAACGGCGAGUGAAGCGGGAAGAGCUCAAAUUUGAAAUCUUAAAGGGUUUCCCUUUACGAAUUGUAGUUUAAAGAAGUGUUUUCUGUUGAGGUUUUGGUAAAAGUUCUUUGGAAUAGGACAUCAUAGAAGGUGAGAAUCCCGUAUUUGACCUUUACUUUCAACUUUGUGAUACACUUUCAAAGAGUCGGAUUGUUUGGGAAUGCAGUCCAAAAUGGGUGGUAAAUUUCAUCUAAAGCUAAAUAUUGGCGAGAGACCGAUAGCGAACAAGUACUGUGAGGGAAAGAUGAAAAGAACUUUGAAAAGAGAGUUAAACAGUACGUGAAAUUGUCAAAAGGGAAGCGUUUGACACUAGUGUUGUUUUUCUGAAAAUCAAUUAAAGAACUGUUUAUGCUAAGCUGUUUAGACUUUAUCAGCUAUCUGUUUAGUUUUGAGCUUUUCUUUAAUGCACUUUUCAGUUAACAAGUCAACAUCAAUUUCUUUUGCUGUAAAAAAGCUUGAGGAAGGUGGCUUGAGAUUCGUCUUAAGUGUUUAUAGCCUCUUGCCUAUGCAGUCGGAGAGAUUGAGGUCUGCAGCGUAGAUCCUUCGGGGCUAAAUGCAUUUGUGCUAAGUUAUAGCAUUUUAUAGACAACUUGUUGACUAUGAUUUGUCUUGUAGCUUACUCGCUUAUGUUAUUUUACCUACGCUUAGGAUGUUGACACACGCGCGUGCUCG